CACCCCUGCUCGAUGUCAUUGUCGUUAGAGUUGUGAUGUAAUGCAUCACUGUUCUCACAGAAUUUGAAACUUUAUUAAAACAUAGGCUAUAGUUAUCAUUCUUGGUGUGAACGGGCCUUUAAUAAUCACAUUAUAGUACAUGAAGUACUCGUUGGCAGCUUUAGAGUGAGAAGUCGUCCUGAUUUGAUAGAGAUUGGUCGAAGCACUUCAUUCUGGAGAGCAGAGAGGAAAACGUGAUGAGCCAACAGGAGGCUCGGAUCAAAGAUGCAAAGUGAUGUGUGUGUGUGGAGCUACAAGGAGAAACAGAGGUCUGGUUCAACAGAACAAGAGGUUCUUAAUAAGCAUUUCCUAAUGAAGAUCGUGAUGUUGUGGUUUGGACUCCAAGAAAAACCUCUAAACCUCUAAGAACAACCAUUUUCACUAUAAGGCUCUUGAGUUGCAUUGGUUCUUGGAAGCAGUGAUGUAACAACGGCUUGAUUAGAGCUCUUCUAAUAUUGUAAAAACAGUAAUAUUCUGAAAAAAGUAUUUUUUGAUAGAAAACUGCACAUCAAGCCAUCUGAUGGUGUCUGCAAGAAGUUUGGAAUACAUUAUUUUCAUUUCUUUAAAAAAAAAAAAAAAAUGAUAGCAGUUUGGUUUUAAAAUAUUAAUAUAAGACGUCCCUUCAGUCACAAAACACUGCCAUUGCUAUGGUUUAUACCGCAGUAGUUUUCAGAAUACUCUGAUUAGAAGCAUGCAUUAACAUAAUCACAGUAUUCUGAUAACAUAAACUUUAACUUCAGCAUUAUAAGGUGAGUGUAAACCCAGCCAGUGAAACAUAAAAGCAGUGAAUUUGUGUAUGGAUUUUUCAUCACUUUAUAACGUCCUUCAUUAACAACAGAGAGACUCCUAAUAAACAUGCAGGGCAGUAUGUCACCCGGCUUUAUCUGAGAUAAGAAAGUUGUUUGAUUUUUGCAGUGCCUUUGUCAAUAGCACAGCCAACAAUGACUCAUCACAACAACAAAGACGCUGUGAAGAUCAGAGCAGGAGAAAGAUGAGACUCUGAAGCUGCCUUGAUGCGAAAUCAAAAAACCAAAGAAAUGCUGUGAAAAUCAUUAAUUGUUUUCAGGAUAAGGCACGUAAUCCAAUUUGUCUGCAGUCUUCAGACGGCGCUGUGGUGUGGAAUGAGUGAUUAGAUGCUGGAGUAUGAGCUAUUCAUCAAUGCCCAUUCAAAAUGACAGUUUGAUUAUUCUCUAAUAGAGCCGUACUGCCGCAGUCAGAAAGCAAUACUUCUGAAGACGGCAUGGCAACGGCUUCUUCCCUCCAAGGUGAUUGUUAGGCUUGUAGUCAGGUGACAGAAGGGAUGAACUGUGAUUGGUUGCGAUGACCUCUUGUCAAUAAGUGACAAGUCUACUAUGUGACAUUGUUCAAUAUGGGAGCUUGUUUCAACUGCUGAGAACAAUAUUAUAAAAACAGAGAGCAGUGGCUCAUUGCAGUCAUGGAUAGAUA
This is a long non-coding RNA of Cyprinus carpio carpio, 1485 nucleotides long. Lineage: Eukaryota; Metazoa; Chordata; Actinopteri; Cypriniformes; Cyprinidae. The record is from Ensembl.